RNAcentral lists this long non-coding RNA (1589 nucleotides) under Homo sapiens (human). RNAcentral describes it as "non-protein coding lnc-PRICKLE3-3:1". The record is from RNAcentral. Lineage: Eukaryota; Metazoa; Chordata; Mammalia; Primates; Hominidae.
GCCCCCUGCAUUGCUGAUGCUGCUGCUGGCGGACAUGGACGUGGUGAAUCAGCUGGUGGCUGGGGGUCAGUUCCGGGUGGUCAAGGAGCCCCUCGGCUUUGUGAAGGUGCUGCAAUGGGUCAGUGAAGCCCAGGAGGACCUGGGGGGGGCAAGAGCUCAGGAGAAGGCCUGCCCCCCUUCCCACCCCUAUACCCUAGGUCUCCACCCCUCAAGCCAGGAGACCCUGUCUUUGCUGUUUAUAUAUAUAUAUAUUAUAUAUAAAUAUCUAUUUAUCUGUCUGAGCCCUGCCCUCACUCCACUCCCCUCAUCCACUAGGUGCCCAGUCUUGAGUGGGCCCCCUCUCUUACCCCGUCCCUUUCCCUGCAUCCCUUGGCCCCUCUCUGUUUACCCUCCCUGUCCCCUGAGGUUAAGGGGAUCUAAAAGGAGGACAGGGAGGGAACAGACCUCGGCUGUGUGGGGAGGGUGGGCGUGACUUCAGACUCUCUCCUCUCUCUCCCUCCACUCCUCCCAACUCUGGCCUUGGUUCCUCCAGCAAUGCCUGCCUGAACAAAGGCCGUUAGGGAAAUCCAACUCCAGGGUUAAAGAAAGGCAGAGAUUGGGGGGGCUUGGGGUAGAGAGGACAGUUUAGGACCCAAGGUGGUCUUGGAGAGGAGGUGUGGAGUGGAGGGGUCAGCAGGGGGGUUGGGUUCCAGACAGAGUGGAUCUGGAGUCUGAAGGAGAGGAGUGCGCUAGAGCAUUCUGGGGUGGGGCUUGGAAGGGCGCUGAGGGCAGGGUUCUAGAAGGGGCGAGGCUUUAAGCGAGGCAGAAUGGUGGGCUCCAGAGUAGGUGGGUCUUGGAUUGGUACCAGAGCCUAUGGAAAGGGUGUGGCUUGGAACAUUUGGGAGACUGAGCUUGAUUCUAAAGGGGACAGAUCUUGAGCAAGGCAAGAAGUGGGAUUCAGGAAUGGGCCAAGCCAGGGUUCCAGACAGGGUGGGGCUUAGAAUGGGGCUUCCAUGGUGGUUUCAGAAAGGGCAGCCCCUCCCCAUGGUGCAGUGAAGAAAAUGUUUUACAAUGGCUGGGUUUGGGCAGUGGAGAGGGGACUUGGAUAGGAGCUUCCAGAUGGGUUUUGUUAGGGGUGGGGGAGAAUGGCUCUGGCUACGACUUGGGACGGAAGUGGCCUGAGAAGAGUCGAGUGAUAUGGCUUGUAGGGUGAGGCGUGGGAUCCAGAGAGAAGCACCCCACCACACACACCCUUCCCCACUCCCGUGAUGAAACAGCUAGGUUAAUAGGAGGACAGAACCAACGGGUCUGUGGGACUGGCCCACCCCUCUUCCCCCUUCCCCUGCGCCCUCCCUCCCUCCACACCUCCACCCGUCCUGGGGUGGUUGGAGGCCUGGUCUGGAGCCCCUAUCCUGCACCCUCUGCUAUGUCUGUGAUGUCAGUAGUGCCUGUGAUCGUGUGUUGCCAUUUUGUCUGGCUGUGGCCCCUCCUUCUCCCCUCCAGACCCCUACCCUUUCCCAAACCCUUCGGUAUUGUUCAAAGAACCCCCCUCCCCAAGGAAGAACAAAUAUGAUUCUCCUCUCCCAAAUAAACUCCUUAACCACCUAGUC